This 431-nucleotide ribosomal RNA is filed under the name uncultured bacterium. Its description in RNAcentral is "bacterial SSU rRNA". It matches the Rfam family "Bacterial small subunit ribosomal RNA", at positions 355 to 796 of the family's 1533-position model. The record is from RNAcentral.
UCGAGGAUCUUCGUCAAUGGGCGCAAGCCUGAACGAGCGACGCCGCGUGUGCGAUGAAGGCCUUCGGGUUGUAAAGCACUGUCGAGGGGAACGAAGCCGAAAGGUUGACCGAUCCCUGGAGGAAGCACGGGCUAAGUUCGUGCCAGCAGCCGCGGUAAGACGAACCGUGCGAACGUUGUUCGGAAUCACUGGGCUUAAAGGGCGCGUAGGCGGCUCGCAAGGUCGGGGGUGAAAUCCCACGGCUUAACCGUGGAAGGGCCUUCGAUACCGGCGAGCUAGAGGAAGGUAGGGGUGCGCGGAACUUCUGGUGGAGCGGUGAAAUGCGUUGAUAUCAGAAGGAACGCCGGCGGCGAAAGCGGCGCACUGGAUCUUUUCUGACGCUGAGGCGCGAAAGCCAGGGGAGCAAACGGGAUUAGAUACCCCCGUAGUCC